Molecule: non-coding RNA, 921 nt
Organism: Piliocolobus tephrosceles (Ugandan red Colobus)
Lineage: Eukaryota; Metazoa; Chordata; Mammalia; Primates; Cercopithecidae
Source: the annotation of a RefSeq genome assembly
GCCCAGCCCUGACCCUGCAGCUCUGGGAGAGGAGCCCCUGCCUGGGAUUCCCGGAAGUUUCCACUUGGUGACCAGCACUGAACACAGACCACCAGCCAUGGAGUUGGGACUGAGCUGGGUUUUCCUUGUUGCUAUUUUAAAAGGUGUCCAGUGUGAGGUGCAGCUGGUGGAGUCUGGGGGAGGCUUGGUCCAGCCUGACGGGUCCCUGAGACUCUCCUGUGCAGCCUCUGGAUUCACCUUCAGUGACCACUACAUGCAGUGGGUCCGCCAGGCUCCAGGAAAGGGGCUGGAGUGGGUAGGUUUCAUUAGAAACAAAGCUAAUGGUGGGACAACAGAAUACGCCGCGUCUGUGAAAGGCAGAUUCACCAUCUCAAGAGAUGAUUCCAAAAGCAUCACCUCUCUGCAAAUGAACAGCCUGAAAACCGAGGACACGGCCGUGUAUUACUGUGCUAGAGACACGGUGAGGGGAGCCCCACCAGCAUCCAUUGUAUUUUGACUUUUUAGUGGCAGCCAUUCUGAGUGGUUGUACCUUCUGAGGCCGCACAGCUACAAUUACCUGACCUAUGAUAAGGCAGGUGAAAACAAGCAGUAAGGAAGUAAAUAAAUUGUGCUGUUCAACAAAUGGUGCUGGGACAACUGGCUAGCCAUAAGAUGAAGAUUGAAGCCAGACGUCUACCUUCAACAUAUGUAAAAUUAACUCAAAAUUGAUGAACUAUUUAAAUGUAAGACUUCAAACCAUAAAAUCCUUGAGGACAACCUAGGAAAUAUUCUUCUCGACCCCAGCUUUGACAAAGAAUUUUUGGCUAAGUAUCCAAAAGCAAUUGCAACAGAAACAAAAAACAGACAAAUGGGACCUAAUUAACUAAGGAGUUUCUGCUCAGCAAAACGAACAAACAGACAAACAAACAAGCAAACAAAACU